CCACCAAAAUUUUUUAUUAUAGAAUAAUAUUUUUGUCUUGUUUACUUAGGAUAUAUGAGUUGUGUUGAGAUGUAAUUCGGAAGUUUGAGCUAUUAUGUAUUUGACUCAGGGUAGGCGUAUCUUCAGAUAAAUUUGGGUGCCAGUAAUCACGGUUAGACCUAUUGGGAGAGAAAUACAGUUUGUUGUUUUGUUUGUUACUUGAAGGAAGGUUUAAUUUAAGGUUGUGGUAUAUGAAAGACUUACCGUAGGAAUCGGAUUAGGUACCCGAGUACUGUGUCUUAUAUUGGGUAGUUAUUAUUUGUGUUAUGUAGAAUACUAAAAGAUUAGGCGGUUUAUCCUUUACAGGGGAGCUUGUUUGUUAAAUUGAUAAUCCGCGAUUAAAUUUACUUAGUUUUUUAGUUAUGUAUGUCCGUUUAAUAUAUUUUCAUAAUGAGGUAUAGGUAGAGAUUUCAGGUCACCAUGUAUGUUAUUAAGGUUUUAGUGAGCUACAAUAUAUUUUAAUUUAUUUGGAUCUCUUACUAUAGUGUAAGUGGAGAAGUAGGACUUGUAAGUAAAAAAAUAUUAGGUAAAUUUUUUGGACUUUUUUUAGGAUAAGAGCACUCACCGCCCGCCACCAAAGGUGUAAGCUUUUGUAAGGCGUAACAAGGUAGCUCUUCUAGAAGGAGGAGCUGGUUUUAAAGUUGACA
This 686-nucleotide ribosomal RNA is filed under the name Halocynthia aurantium. Its description in RNAcentral is "12S ribosomal RNA". The record is from RNAcentral. Lineage: Eukaryota; Metazoa; Chordata; Ascidiacea; Stolidobranchia; Pyuridae.